AACGAACGCUGGCGGCAUGCCUAACACAUGCAAGUCGAACGAGACCUUCGGGUCUAGUGGCGCACGGGUGCGUAACGCGUGGGAACCUGCCCUUAGGUUCGGAAUAACUCAGAGAAAUUUGAGCUAAUACCGGAUAAUGUCUUCGGACCAAAGAUUUAUCGCCUUUGGAUGGGCCCGCGUAGGAUUAGCUUGUUGGUGGGGUAAUGGCCUACCAAGGCGACGAUCCUUAGCUGGUCUGAGAGGAUGAUCAGCCACACUGGGACUGAGACACGGCCCAGAAUCCUACGGGAGGCAGCAGUGGGGAAUAUUGGACAAUGGGCGAAAGCCUGAUCCAGCAAUGCCGCGUGAGUGAUGAAGGCCUUAGGGUUGUAAAGCUCUUUUACCAGGGAUGAUAAUGACAGUACCUGGAGAAUAAGCUCCGGCUAACUCCGUG
Molecule: ribosomal RNA, 433 nt
Filed under: uncultured bacterium
Lineage: Bacteria
Description: partial 16S ribosomal RNA
Rfam family: Bacterial small subunit ribosomal RNA
Source: RNAcentral